RNAcentral lists this ribosomal RNA (450 nucleotides) under uncultured bacterium. RNAcentral's name for it is "partial 16S ribosomal RNA". It matches the Rfam family "Bacterial small subunit ribosomal RNA", at positions 354 to 796 of the family's 1533-position model. The record is from RNAcentral.
GUGGGGAAUUUUGGACAAUGGGCGAAAGCCUGAUCCAGCCAUGCCGCGUGCAGGAUGAAGGCCUUCGGGUUGUAAACUGCUUUUGUACGGAACGAAAAGACUCUGGUUAAUACCUGGGGUCCAUGACGGUACCGUAAGAAUAAGCACCGGCUAACUACGUGCCAGCAGCCGCGGUAAUACGAAGGGUGCAAGCGUUAAUCGGAAUUACUGGGCGUAAAGCGCGCGUAGGUGGUUCAGCAAGUUGGAGGUGAAAUCCCCGGGCUCAACCUGGGAACUGCAUUUGUGACUGUAUAGCUAGAGUACGGCAGAGGGGGAUGGAAUUCCGCGUGUAGCAGUGAAAUGCGUAGAUAUGCGGAGGAACACCGAUGGCGAAGGCAAUCCCCUGGGCCUGUACUGACGCUCAUGCACGAAAGCGUGGGGAGCAAACAGGAUUAGAUACCCCUGUAGUCC